ACAACAACAACAACAAUAGCAUGUUUCAUUUUAUCUAUAUGAGAUAAAAACAAUAAAUAUGUACAAUAAUUGAGAAAAAGGUACAUUUUUAUGGUAUUAAUAUGACAUUAUCAACUUUGAAACAUUUUAUUUAAUUUGUUAUCCGUGUUUAGUAAAGAUGCCGAGGAAUUAUUCAAAGUUUCAAAUUAGAUUUUAUGAAUUAUUCAAUUGAUUGAUAAUUUAAAAAAUGAUAAAGAAAGAUACAAAUGUACAUGUACAUGGUUUAAGAAUAAACAAUAUUAUAUAUUGAAAGAUUAACCAUAAUUUACUGACUUUUUCCAGUUAAGUUUUGACUUAUAAUCGUCGGUCAAUAUGACAAUUGAAUUCUUAAAAUUUAUUUUACAAUUUUAAUAAAAAAAAGAGUAGUAAACAUAAAUACUCAGUAUUAAAAUAGCACAUAAAACACAAAAAAGAAAAGAAAACAAUAUUCAUAAAAUUUGUAUAUUUUUAUUAAAAUUAAUAGAUAUUAAUUAUUGUAUAAUAAAAAAUUAUGCUCAACAUGAUCAACAUGGUAAUAUAACCAGUGUCAUAUUUUUACUAAGUGUGAACAGGUACCUUAAGAGGGGGUCUUCGCUAAUAGCGGACAAUUACACAAGUGUGGUACGUGUUGAUCAUGCGUUACACAUGGAUUAUAAAUGAUUGUAUACAUGUAUAUUAGCUAUAACAAGUCUCUUGUAAUUCUUUCGAGAAUGGCUAUAUACAAAUUUAAUGUUUUAAAUGUUUUAUAUGUAUAUAUGUUUAUAGAUGAGACUAUAAUAAAGAAUAAAAUGUAUAUCCGUUGCUAUUAAUAACCACGAUCAUAAAGAAAUAACAAGUAAUAUUCUAAUCUCUAGCAUGCCAAUCAAAGUUCAUAAUGAACAAUGUCUUUCGUCCGCUCAUUCAUAAGUGAUAUACAAUUCUGGUAGUUUAUAAGAAUAUCUUGUCAUCAGUGAGUUAGCCAAUAGCGGAUCAUAGCCAAUAACGGGUCAGUCAGUUAUUUAAUAAAUUAUUUUACUAAAUGUUUUGAACUUAAAAGUGUUAUAACCUAACAGUCAUGUGCAUUAGGAUGUAAGCUCCUCGACAGCGAAAAAAGAAAUGUAAACAUCCGGAUAAUUCUAAUCAGAUUCAUUCAGAUGCUUUACCAAGCGUUUCCGUUUGUCGCGAAAUAUUGCGCCAGUAACAACACAAAUUUGCAGUCGCUGCUUUAUUGCUGAAAAACCCCAAAAGAUAUUAGAUCAAAGCUGAUUCUAAUACCUAAGGGAAAGAGAAAAAGUGUUCAAUGUAGUCCAGCCCAGAAUGCAGCCUCCUCAGUGGAAACUUCAGAACAAUCCAUGGUCCUUAGAAAGUCAGUUAUCAAAGGGUAUCACGCUUUUCAAAUAAGACCACCAUCAACUACACCCCCAACACGUCUAACUGUAGAGCCUGAAUAUACAAAUACUCAUGAUACUGAUGCCUGCUUGGUGUGGUUGCCGCCACUUGAGUCAUUCCAAACAUUGUUACAGGAUAGUGUCACUGACCAAAAACGCCAGCUUCGGUUGCGAGAUGUAGCAGGACUUCCAAUUAGCCAUGUUCGACGAGGGAUAGCUGGCUUUUUUCGUACCAUUAUGGACAAAGGACAUAUCGAAGCUGAGGUUACUGGUGAGCCCACUCAGAGUUUCCCACCAUGGCCAGCUCCAAGUUCUGAAGGUGGUGGGGUUGUGUUGCCAUGCAACUAUAUUAUAUUUCACCCAGAUAUUGAGAGUAAUUUUCAAAAAAACUUUCUGUAAUAUUAGAUAAAAUCCCAGAAGGCCCUGCCAUGACACUGAACAAGGAAUAAACAUAUGUUAAUUUUCAACUCUGUAAAAGCCAAUUAAGCCUAACAAUGCUAUUAUUAUUUUUUUCAGUCUUGUUAUUUUAAGGCUAUCACUUUAUUUUUUCAAAGCUUUGUUAUUUUUAAUGUCCAUUUUACAGCUUCCAGAAGUUACUUAUUGGUCAUAUUUCUGAACCAUUUUUAGUUUCCUUUGUGCUUAGGUUUAGUACAGUUAAAGUUAAUUAGUAUUUUGUAUUAAUUUACUUGCUUUAUCACAAAUGAUUUUAUAUUCAAAGGUAUUUUCAUCAGAUGAUAAGCAUCUCACAUGAUAUAAAUCCAUAUUACAACAUAUUUAAACUCAUUUUUGCACUUUCGACAGAAUUAUUAAUUUUUCUUACACAUAAUGUGCUUAAAGUGACUGAAAAUUUAGAAUUUUUUUAACCAAGCAAGUAUUGUUUAAUGAUCUAGUCAAUAUUGUUUUACAUAAUUAAAUGUAUUUUUUUAGGUUUGACUUGAACCAAGUCAAUUUUGUUUAAUGAUAAUAAGUCAAUAUUGUUUUACAUAAUUAAAAUGUUGUUUUUUUUAGGUUUGAUGUUGAACCAAGUCAGUAUUGUUUAAUGAUCGAGUCAAUUUUGUUUUACAUAAUUAAAUGGGUUUUUCUUUAGGUUUGACGUCGAACCAAGUCAGUAUUGUUAAAUGAUGUAGUCAAUAUUGUUUUACAUCAUUACAUGUAUUUUGUUAUGAUUUUGUUUGUUUAUAUCACAGUUUACUCAAUAAGAGAAAAUCAGUUGACAAUUUUGUUUGUUAUUCUUAUAAAGUGUAUCCUCAUAAUGACCACAUAGAAGAACAUGCAAAUUUCUUGAGACUGCAUUUUAAGCUUUUGAUUCACAACAAGACACUUGUGUUACAGUUAAUUUAAUUUUACGUAGAAUGUGCAAAAAAUUGCUUCAAUGAGCUGCCUUGUCCCCUGUAACCCUGAAAAUAAAAUAAAUAUGUUAUCUACACAAUUUACAAUUCAUUGAGCAGAUAUCUAGAUCAGCAUUAUUACAAUCAUUAUUUUUACCACAAUCAUGCAGCUGCCACUUGGAUUCUUGACUUAUUGGUACCCUUUUCACUUUAAUACUCAACGGUAACACAUAGCUGUGUAAUAUUUUCCUGGUUAAGGAAGAAUUUGACAGAUAAUUAAUGUUUUGAGAAAACCGUAUAUCACGUGACCCGCUAAUGGCCGAUUUGACCCGCUAUUGGCAUGUUUACAAGAAGUUUGGAAACGGUAAAUACACCACGAUGCAUUCAAAAUAUGAAUCACAAGAAGUAUACAGUAAAAGGGGAAUAAAAAUACUUCUAAUCAUCAUACAUUUAUAUAUGAAUCAAAAAUCGUUCGUUCAUAAACACUAAAAGUUUCGCUAGUGAUCCGUUAUUGGCCAACUCACUGUCUGUCUACUAGUUCAUCUUCACUUGCUGCAUUUCUUGAUUGGACGCCCUUUGAUGCUUUGCAUCAAUGCUUUUCUUGUAUAAAUUGUAACGAAAAUAGAGGAAUGGUAUAUGUGUGCGGAGAUACAAACUCGAGAAUUGGUUCAAACUCUGACUGUAUAAAUUAUGAUAAUAAUUAUAUUGUUAUAUGAGCAUGCUUAUUUAGCUAUGGAUUCAUUUAUUCCGCGGACAACGACUGAUCGUGGUACAAACCGGUUUGGGGAACAAUUACUUGAUCUUUGUAAAUCUACAGAUAUACGCAUUGUAAACGGACGGUUGGAUAUAGCGACGCGAAUCUCGGGAAACCUACUUGUUAUACGUAUAACGGGAACAGUGUAGUGGAUUAUUUGUUAACAAAAGCAUGCAAUUUUGAAAAUAUUUCAGAGUUUCGUGUUCAUGAUUUGCAGGGGGUCGAACGUAUAGCGGUGCGAUACUCCUUUAAGCGAGGUGAUUUCAUGCGAUACGCCCUAAU
Long non-coding RNA from Ruditapes philippinarum (Manila clam), 3749 nucleotides. RefSeq lists it as uncharacterized. The record is from RefSeq and is a predicted model, not a curated record. NCBI's taxonomy places the organism in Eukaryota, Metazoa, Mollusca, Bivalvia, Venerida, Veneridae. The transcript has 3 exons.